RNAcentral lists this ribosomal RNA (216 nucleotides) under uncultured bacterium. RNAcentral's name for it is "partial 16S ribosomal RNA". It matches the Rfam family "Bacterial small subunit ribosomal RNA", at positions 118 to 351 of the family's 1533-position model. The record is from RNAcentral.
UGGGAAUCUGCCCUUGGGUUCGGAAUAACAGUUAGAAAUGACUGCUAAUACCGGAUGAUGACUUCGGUCCAAAGAUUUAUCGCCCAAGGAUGAGCCCGCGUAAGAUUAGCUAGUUGGUGAGGUAAAGGCUCACCAAGGCUACGAUCUUUAGCUGGUCUGAGAGGAUGAUCAGCCACACUGGGACUGAGACACGGCCCAGACUCCUACGGGAGGCAG